GGGGUUUCAAGGACGUAUCGUCGUUCACAUCCCCUGUGACAUACCACUUGUUGCCUCGGCGGAUCAGCCCGCUCCCGGUAAAACGGGACGGCCCGCCAGAGGACCCCUAAACUCUGUUUCUAUAUGUAACUUCUGAGUAAAACCAUAAAUAAAUCAAAACUUUCAACAACGGAUCUCUUGGUUCUGGCAUCGAUGAAGAACGCAGCAAAAUGCGAUAAGUAAUGUGAAUUGCAGAAUUCAGUGAAUCAUCGAAUCUUUGAACGCACAUUGCGCCCGCCAGUAUUCUGGCGGGCAUGCCUGUUCGAGCGUCAUUUCAACCCUCAAGCACAGCUUGGUGUUGGGACUCGCGUUAAUUCGCGUUCCUCAAAUUGAUUGGCGGUCACGUCGAGCUUCCAUAGCGUAGUAGUAAAACCCUCGUUACUGGUAAUCGUCGCGGCCACGCCGUUAAACCCCAACUUCUGAAUGUUGACCUCGGAUCAGGUAGGAAUACCCGCUGAACUUAAGCAUAUCAAUAAGCGGAGGAAAAUAACCGGAGGAAUUUAAACCCAAACCUGGUGAACAUACACUUGGUGCCUGGCGGAUAGCCGCUCUGUAAAACGGGACGCCGCUGAGGAACCUAAACUCUGUUUUCUUAUGUACUUCUGAGUUAAAACUAAAUAAAUCAAAACUUUACAAGGAAUCAU
RNAcentral lists this ribosomal RNA (683 nucleotides) under fungal endophyte. Its description in RNAcentral is "eukaryotic LSU rRNA". The stretch from base 158 to 311 matches the Rfam family "5.8S ribosomal RNA". Lineage: Eukaryota; Fungi. The record is from RNAcentral.